AGCUUUGCACAGUGGCAGUAUCAUAGCCAAUUAGGUUUAUCCAAGGCGUGAUUAUUGCUAAUUGAAAACUUGUCUCAAUACCCUGCUAACUGGCUUUAGUCAGCAUAACAAUUUUUUUAGGUCUCCACAGAGA
Molecule: small nuclear RNA, 133 nt
Organism: Protopterus annectens (West African lungfish)
Lineage: Eukaryota; Metazoa; Chordata; Ceratodontiformes; Protopteridae
Product: U4 spliceosomal RNA
Exons: 1
Source: RefSeq, a predicted model, not a curated record